This 75-nucleotide transfer RNA is filed under the name Deltaproteobacteria bacterium. Its description in RNAcentral is "tRNA-Leu". It matches the Rfam family "tRNA". From Rfam's summary of the family: Transfer RNA (tRNA) molecules are approximately 80 nucleotides in length. Their secondary structure includes four short double-helical elements and three loops (D, anti-codon, and T loops). Lineage: Bacteria; Pseudomonadati; Myxococcota; Myxococcia. The record is from RNAcentral.
GGAGGCGUGGCGGAACAGGCAUACGCGCCGGACUUAAAAUCUGGUUCUUUGUGGGUUCGACUCCCACCGCCUCCA